Pan paniscus (pygmy chimpanzee) is the source of this 480-nucleotide long non-coding RNA. The record is from Ensembl. Lineage: Eukaryota; Metazoa; Chordata; Mammalia; Primates; Hominidae.
CUAUUGGCUUGGGAAGUUCUUGAAUGUUCCAUCUGUGAGUAUUAGACCACAAGGAAAUGAGAGCUGUCAUUUUCAGUAUUUGCAGGCCAUCUCGAGAGAGAGGAAGAAAAAUACGCUGCGUAUAUCACAUAUGAUGUCUGAACCCUGUUGUUAUCAUCACUCAUGGGUUGAGUUGUGUUUGGUUCACCCCCCACAGCACAAACUACAGAGAAGGGGCCUGGGACAGAGAGAGGACCACAGGGAAAACACUCCAAGCAUGGGGCUCUGGAGGCCCAAGUGGAGCUGCUUUCCACUUUGUGUAUACUAGAUACACUAUAGCAGCAAGAAUGAUUCCUCGAAUGCUGAGAUAAUGGACUCUGGCCUUGGGGACCGUGAUCCCACCUUGGACCCCUGCAGCUCCGAGAACCCCCAGCUCCACCCUUGCCUCACACACAUACGCUCUUUGUGAAUGAGGAGAAUAAGACCCAGAAAACAGAAGCC